UAGUCAUAUGCUUGUCUCAAAGAUUAAGCCAUGCAUGUCUAAGUACAUACUGUUUAUAAAGUGAAACCGCGAAUGGCUCAUUAAAUCAGUUACGGUUCCUCGGAUAUUCUUUUUUACAUGGAUAACUGUGGUAAUUCUAGAGCUAAUACAUGAACAAGUGUUCCAACCUCAGCUUGCUGACGGAAGGAUCGCAUUUAUUAGUACAAGACCAAUGAUUCUUAUUCACCUAGAACCCUGUUCAGUGAUUUCGGUCGCUGUCUAAGGACUAGCAGUGGGGAUCUUAGCAACUUCGGUUGCAUUUCUUGUGAUGACUCUGAAUAACUGAGCAAAUCGUAUGGCCUCUGAGCCGACGAUGUAUCCCUCAAGCAACUGCCUUAUCAACUGUCGAUGGUAGGUUAUGCGCCUACCAUGGUUGUAACGGGUAACGGGGAAUUAGGGUUCGAUUCCGGAGAGGGAGCCUGAGAAACGGCUACCACAUCUAAGGAAGGCAGCAGGCGCGCAAAUUACACAAUCCCAGUACGGGGAUGUAGUGACGAAAAAUAACAAUACGGGACUCUAUUGAGGCCCCGUAAUUGGAAUGAGUACAAUUUAAAUCCUUUAACGAGGAUCUAUUGGAGGGCAAGUCUGGUGCCAGCAGCCGCGGUAAUUCCAGCUCCAAUAGCGUAUAUUA
Molecule: ribosomal RNA, 670 nt
Filed under: Tetranychus urticae (two-spotted spider mite)
Lineage: Eukaryota; Metazoa; Arthropoda; Arachnida; Trombidiformes; Tetranychidae
Description: rRNA tetur06g06579
Rfam family: Eukaryotic small subunit ribosomal RNA
Source: RNAcentral